Molecule: ribosomal RNA, 340 nt
Filed under: uncultured Nocardioidaceae bacterium
Lineage: Bacteria; Bacillati; Actinomycetota; Actinomycetes; Propionibacteriales; Nocardioidaceae
Description: bacterial SSU rRNA
Rfam family: Bacterial small subunit ribosomal RNA
Source: RNAcentral
UAGUGAGUUUGAUCCUGGCUCAGGACGAACGCUGGCGGCGUGCUUAACGACGAUGCAAGUCGAGCGGAAAGGCCACUUCGGUGGUACUCGAGCGGCGAACGGGUGGGUAACACGUGAGUAAUCUGCCCCUCACUUCGGGAUAGCCACCGGAAACGGUGAUUAAUACCGGAUAUGACGUGCCCUCGCAUGGGGGUGUGUGGAAAGUUUUUUCGGUGGGGGAUGUGCUCGCGGCCUAUCAGCUUGAUGGUGGGGUAACUGGCCCACCAAGGCGACGAUGCAUAGCCGACCUGAGAGGGUGAUCGGCCACACUGGGGACUGAGACACGGCCCAGACUCCGUAC